GCGGCGGACGGGUGAGUAACACGUGGGUAACCUGCCCGUAAGACCGGGAUAACUCCGGGAAACCGGGGCUAAUACCGGAUAACACCGGGGGCCGCAUGGCUUCCGGUUGAAAGGCGGCCUUUGGCUGCCACUUACGGAUGGGCCCGCGGCGCAUUAGCUAGUUGGCGGGGUAACGGCCCACCAAGGCGACGAUGCGUAGCCGGCCUGAGAGGGUGGACGGCCACACUGGGACUGAGACACGGCCCAGACUCCUACGGGAGGCAGCAGUAGGGAAUCUUCCGCAAUGGGCGAAAGCCUGACGGAGCGACGCCGCGUGAGCGAGGAAGGCCUUCGGGUCGUAAAGCUCUGUUGUCAGGGAAGAAGGCGCGCCGUUCGAAUAGGGCGGCGCGGUGACGGUACCUGACGAGGAAGCCCCGGCUAACUACGUGCCAGCAGCCGCGGUAAAAC
RNAcentral lists this ribosomal RNA (447 nucleotides) under Geobacillus sp. EBBig19_2_3. RNAcentral's name for it is "bacterial SSU rRNA". It matches the Rfam family "Bacterial small subunit ribosomal RNA", at positions 95 to 526 of the family's 1533-position model. The record is from RNAcentral. RNAcentral also lists the same sequence under 3 other names. Lineage: Bacteria; Bacillati; Bacillota; Bacilli; Caryophanales; Anoxybacillaceae.